RNAcentral lists this ribosomal RNA (644 nucleotides) under bacterium HZ6-21. RNAcentral's name for it is "bacterial SSU rRNA". It matches the Rfam family "Bacterial small subunit ribosomal RNA", at positions 338 to 974 of the family's 1533-position model. The record is from RNAcentral.
CCUACGGGAGGCAGCAGUAGGGAAUCUUCCGCAAUGGACGAAAGUCUGACGGAGCAACGCCGCGUGAGCGAUGAAGGCCUUCGGGUCGUAAAGCUCUGUUGUCAGGGAAGAACAAGUACCGGAGUAACUGCCGGUACCUUGACGGUACCUGACCAGAAAGCCACGGCUAACUACGUGCCAGCAGCCGCGGUAAUACGUAGGUGGCAAGCGUUGUCCGGAAUUAUUGGGCGUAAAGCGCGCGCAGGCGGUUCCUUAAGUCUGAUGUGAAAGCCCCCGGCUCAACCGGGGAGGGUCAUUGGAAACUGGGAACUUGAGUGCAGAAGAGGAGAGCGGAAUUCCACGUGUAGCGGUGAAAUGCGUAGAGAUGUGGAGGAACACCAGUGGCGAAGGCGGCUCUCUGGUCUGUAACUGACGCUGAGGCGCGAAAGCGUGGGGAGCGAACAGGAUUAGAUACCCUGGUAGUCCACGCCGUAAACGAUGAGUGCUAAGUGUUAGAGGGUUUCCGCCCUUUAGUGCUGCAGCAAACGCAUUAAGCACUCCGCCUGGGGAGUACGGCCGCAAGGCUGAAACUCAAAGGAAUUGACGGGGGCCCGCACAAGCGGUGGAGCAUGUGGUUUAAUUCGAAGCAACGCGAAGAACCUUAC